AAGGUAGCGUAAUAACCAGCCCUCUAAUUAAAGGCCAGUGAAAGGCGACACGUGGGAACACCUAUAUCUAAUGUGUUAAAAGAAACUUACCUCUGAGUGAAAAGGCUCAGCUAAUGAAAAAAGACGAAAAGACCCCGCGGAGCUUUACUUAAACGCCACAACCCAAUACAAAGUUUACCGCCAAGAGUUUGGUUGGGGCAACCUUGGAACAAACUCAUCUUCCAAUCCACCUACCUUAAACUAUAAAAAACCUACUAAGGACCAAAAAGAAGCUACCCCGGGGAUAACAGCGUAAUCCAACUUAAA
This 306-nucleotide ribosomal RNA is filed under the name Triplodon corrugatus. Its description in RNAcentral is "partial 16S ribosomal RNA". It matches the Rfam family "Bacterial large subunit ribosomal RNA", at positions 1953 to 2496 of the family's 2925-position model. Lineage: Eukaryota; Metazoa; Mollusca; Bivalvia; Unionida; Hyriidae. The record is from RNAcentral.